Non-coding RNA from Patiria miniata (bat star), 74 nucleotides. Lineage: Eukaryota; Metazoa; Echinodermata; Asteroidea; Valvatida; Asterinidae. The record is from the annotation of a RefSeq genome assembly.
GCGUUGGUGGUAUAUAGUGGUUAGAAUAGUUGCCUUCCAAGCAAUUGACCCGGGUUCGACUCCCGGCCAACGCA